UUUUCUUUGUGGGAAACCUUUCUUCUCUUCUACACAGGAAGGAAGAAAUGCAAUGCAAGAGCGAUGUAAAAACAUUCUAUGCUAUCAGUAAGACUGGAAGGAAAUUUUUAUCAAACUUUUUCACAGUGGUAUGUAUAGAGAAGAGAGUGCCAAAGUAUUAAGAAUGUGAAUGUCUCCUUUCAGACGGAAAAAAAUCCAACGACCACCGUGAGUCGACUGAGACUGUCUGCCGUCACGCCGAGGGACUCCGGGCGGUACACCUGCCGACCAGACACGGGCGGUUUUGCGUCUGUGUUAGUCCACGUCCAGUCAGACCAACCCCGCGCCGCGGUGCAGCAGAGUGGCCACAAUACUGCUGCUUCCUCACUCACCACCCCGCUGCUGCUGCUGCUGCUGUUGCUUGCCACCUCUCUCGCCUGCCUCCUCCCCUCCUUCAGCCUCGAUGGCUGCUGGUGGUCCUCGCCCUUUUAAUCCAAAGCCUAAAUUGUCAGUUUAAUGUUCUUUUGUGUGUAUGGCUGUAGAUACUAUUUUUGUAAAUAUCUCGAAGAUUUACAAAAUAUAAUGUAUUUUAAUUU
Long non-coding RNA from Scylla paramamosain (green mud crab), 575 nucleotides. RefSeq lists it as uncharacterized. The record is from RefSeq and is a predicted model, not a curated record. The transcript is spliced from 2 exons. Lineage: Eukaryota; Metazoa; Arthropoda; Malacostraca; Decapoda; Portunidae.